CGUAACAAGGUUUCCGUAGGUGAACCUGCGGAAGGAUCAUUACCUAGAGUUCGUAGACUUCGGUCUGCUACCUCUUACCCAUGUCUUUUGAGUACCUUCGUUUCCUCGGCGGGUCCGCCCCCCGAUUGGACAACAUUCAAACCCUUUGCAGUUGCAAUCAGCGUCUGAAAAAACAUAAUAGUUACAACUUUCAACAACGGAUCUCUUGGUUCUGGCAUCGAUGAAGAACGCAGCGAAAUGCGAUAAGUAGUGUGAAUUGCAGAAUUCAGUGAAUCAUCGAAUCUUUGAACGCACAUUGCGCCCCUUGGUAUUCCAUGGGGCAUGCCUGUUCGAGCGUCAUUUGUACCUUCAAGCUCUGCUUGGUGUUGGGUGUUUGUCUCGCCUCUGCGUGUAGACUCGCCUUAAAACAAUUGGCAGCCGGCGUAUUGAUUUCGGAGCGCAGUACAUCUCGCGCUUUGCACUCAUAACGGCGACGUCCAAAAGUACAUUUUUACACUCUUGACCUCGGAUCAGGUAGGGAUACCCGCUGAACUUAAGCAUAUCA
Molecule: ribosomal RNA, 544 nt
Filed under: uncultured fungus
Lineage: Eukaryota; Fungi
Description: eukaryotic LSU rRNA
Rfam family: 5.8S ribosomal RNA (bases 186-339)
Source: RNAcentral